This is a long non-coding RNA of Anneissia japonica, 1266 nucleotides long. RefSeq lists it as uncharacterized. Lineage: Eukaryota; Metazoa; Echinodermata; Crinoidea; Comatulida; Comatulidae. The record is from RefSeq and is a predicted model, not a curated record. The transcript has 3 exons.
CAAGCUGUGGAAUAAGUUUGCCAAAAUCUAUGGAGAGAUGAGAUUAGCAAAGAUGAAACUUGCUUUGAGAUCUUCUUGGAAUUGAUGAAGCAGUUUGGACUUCUGUCUGGAAAUAUUAUGUUUGCCUAUCGAUCAAGAGGAUGGGACAAGUAUGGCAACAAGUGAACCAAAUCCAUUAGUUUGUAUGCAGGAUAUUGCAAUUGAUUGCGGAAGAGAUUGGCAAGGACUGGAAUUCAUUUGGCGGCAUCAUUGGUCUAAAAUGGACAGAAUUGAGAUGGACUUUCCAGCAACUGUGGACGCAAGUCUGGAAAUGCUGGUCAAGUAGCAAGAAAGUAAACCACCUUGGAGAGAUAGGCUGUUACUAAAGAACUCUGGGAGUACUAUCCUAAACAAAAAGUAAUGAAAGAACAUUUGUAGGUAGACAUUGGUACCGGAAUUUUGAAAGACAAUUAUACAGUGAUUAAGCCUGGGGCUAGUUUCCCACACUCCCUUCAGUGAGAGCAUGACCCCACCACUGGGAUUAUGACUCUCAAUGUGAUAUCUUUUAAGAAUUAAGAAGAUUAAUUGAAAUGUUUGAGGGCGUUGUUUAGUAUACCUAGAUCGAAUGUAAAUUUAGUCGGAUAAAGAUUGUGGACAAUGCUACAUAUUUUAUAUUUAAAACAAUACGGAAUUCCAAAUCAUUCCAGUAGGAUGCAGUAUUUUUUCAAUACAUAACAAUUUUUAUUCAAAAACUAAAGCUCAACUGAAUACAAUUCACUGUACAGUUUCAAAUUCCACAAUGAAUAAUGAAAAAGAAGCAUUUAAAAAGGCUACACAAUAGUAGGCAUGGCCCGUAUACCUGGGCUGGGAUGGUUGCAUAUGCAGCUCCCUAAUAAAAAAAAAAAUUGGUCGGUAUUUUUAAGGCAGUUAAAAAUAUACUGAGUUGAAAAAAAAAUAACCAGUAAUCUUAUCAGAAUCCGACAACACCCUACAAUACCAAAGCUGUGAUUCAACUGGCUCUUCCCCUUGACACUGUCAGUGUUUCUAGGCGAUACCCAUACCCCAUUUUUUUCGUUUUUGGCUAUCCUGGCUACGACACGAAAUGGUCACAUCCUCGUCCCUUGUUCAGUGAAUUAAAUUAGAAUAAAAUCAGGGGCGGAUCCAGAAGUUUUGGUUAGGGGGGGCUAUAGGUAUAUGUGUAAAGUGCCUCCAAGUGCUUGCGGAGGCUAGGUUUGGGAGGAGGUGUCUCCGUCCGAUAAGAUGGGGUUCAGAGGGGUAGCUGAACGC